UGGCUCAGUGGUUGAGCACUUGCCUUGCAUGCAUGAGGCCCUGGGUUCGAUUCCUCAG
Molecule: transfer RNA, 58 nt
Filed under: Dipodomys ordii (Ord's kangaroo rat)
Lineage: Eukaryota; Metazoa; Chordata; Mammalia; Rodentia; Heteromyidae
Rfam family: tRNA
About the family: Transfer RNA (tRNA) molecules are approximately 80 nucleotides in length. Their secondary structure includes four short double-helical elements and three loops (D, anti-codon, and T loops).
Source: Rfam by way of RNAcentral